GAACCUGCGGAGGGAUCAUUACCGAGUUAUUCAACUCAUCAACCCUGUGAACAUACCUAAACGUUGCUUCGGCGGGAAUAGACGGCCCCGUGAAACGGGCCGCCCCCGCCAGAGGACCCUUAACUCUGUUUCUAUAAUGUUUCUUCUGAGUAAAACAAGCAAAUAAAUUAAAACUUUCAACAACGGAUCUCUUGGCUCUGGCAUCGAUGAAGAACGCAGCGAAAUGCGAUAAGUAAUGUGAAUUGCAGAAUUCAGUGAAUCAUCGAAUCUUUGAACGCACAUUGCGCCCGCCAGUAUUCUGGCGGGCAUGCCUGUUCGAGCGUCAUUACAACCCUCAGGCCCCCGGGCCUGGCGUUGGGGAUCGGCGGAGCCUCUCUGUGGGCACACGCCGUCCCCCAAAUACAGUGGCGGUCCCGCCGCAGCUUCCAUCGCGUAGUAGCUAACACCUCGCGACUGGAGAGCGGCGCGGCCACGCCGUAAAACACCCAACUCUUCUGAAGUUGACCUCGAAUCAGGUAGGAAUACCCGCUGAACUUAAGCAUAUCAAUAAGCGGAGGAA
This 559-nucleotide ribosomal RNA is filed under the name Fusarium solani. RNAcentral describes it as "eukaryotic LSU rRNA". The stretch from base 172 to 325 matches the Rfam family "5.8S ribosomal RNA". Lineage: Eukaryota; Fungi; Ascomycota; Sordariomycetes; Hypocreales; Nectriaceae. The record is from RNAcentral.